UACGUAGGGCGCAAGCGUUAUCCGGAAUUAUUGGGCGUAAAGAGCUCGUAGGCGGUUUGUCGCGUCUGCCGUGAAAGUCCGGGGCUCAACUCCGGAUCUGCGGUGGGUACGGGCAGACUAGAGUGAUGUAGGGGAGACUGGAAUUCCUGGUGUAGCGGUGAAAUGCGCAGAUAUCAGGAGGAACACCGAUGGCGAAGGCGGGUCUCUGGGCCGAUAUUGACGCUGAGGAGCGAAAGCGUGGGGAGCGAACAGG
Molecule: ribosomal RNA, 253 nt
Filed under: uncultured bacterium
Lineage: Bacteria
Description: partial 16S ribosomal RNA
Rfam family: Bacterial small subunit ribosomal RNA
Source: RNAcentral